Molecule: long non-coding RNA, 1487 nt
Organism: Acinonyx jubatus (cheetah)
Lineage: Eukaryota; Metazoa; Chordata; Mammalia; Carnivora; Felidae
Exons: 2
Source: RefSeq, a predicted model, not a curated record
CUUUUUACCCCAAACUAGGGCAGCAGCCUGCAGACAGACGGUCCAGGAACAAGGAAGCCGGUCAGAGGGUCCGAGAGGGGGCGCUGGACCGGACCCCGGGAGGGGGCGCUGGACCGGGAGGGGGCGCUGGAUCGGGAGGGGGCGCUGGCCCGGGAGGGGGCGCUGGACCGGGUGGGGGUGCUGGCUCGGGAGGGGGCGAUGGACCGGGAGCAGGACACCCAGCGGCCCCGCCGGGCAGCAGCGUCCUCCCCAUGCCGCCCACUCACCACGUCCAGGUCCUGGGAAACCCUCCGCUUCCGCAGCUCCUCCAUCCUCUCGCACACAUCGGAGAAACAGGUGUUGUAAUAGUCUGCAUACUGCUGCGCCAGGUCAUCGAUGUUUCCCAGGGAGCCGUCCUGAGGGCGAGGCGGGCAGCAGGAAAAAAACAGGAAAACAACAAAGGCGGUGAGUCCACCGGCACGAAGACCUACAGCUUUUGGUGCCCCUCCCCCCAGCAUUUACAGUAAGAACGGCAGGUAUUCGUUAAGUGGGAAGUAUGGGCGCCACCUCCAAAUCCUCCGGACAGCUAUGGACACGGGGGACACAGGAACUAUGUGCUCGCCUUUACAGUAACUCAGAGAAGUUGAGUGCCCACCGGGUCUAGGGCUAACAAGCAAAGAAGGCAGAACUCCAACCCAGGACUGCCGCGGCCAAGGCCGCGGUCUGAAACCCACACCUCUGCCCGCCUGGCAGGGCUAAGAAACCCCCAGGCAGGCGCCUUCAGAAGAGGCACUGUCCGGGCAAGAGGCUCCCCGAAGCCCCAUCCGUGGCUGCACCAGAGCCUCCUGAGAAGUCCCGACGCCAGGACCCCACUCCUGGGAAUUCUGAUUGCGAGCGGAGGGCGGAGGACCCGUGAGGGAUGCCGCAGCUGAACCACACCUGUGCCUCCCUGAGACCCUUGAAAAGAAAAAAAAAAACCCUAUUCCUUGAGUUAUUCCAAGUACACAAGCGAGAAGCACACACGUUAACAAAUUCACCUAAAGAAGAAACAGGUCUGUGGCCCCAGCAGCCGCUCCGGAGCCCACGUUCCUGAGUUCACACUCAGCUCGGCAGCCGCUCACAAUUCAGGGGCCUGAGGCGUUUCCUAAGCUCUGGAAACUCUGGAAUAGUACGGAUAACCUCUGGACAGAUAACCUCCGGUAACACUGGAAUAGUACGGAACCUAUCUCUCAAGGAGAAGCGGUGAAGUAACACGGUCCACCUGGCACACAAUGUCGUUUAUGGUGUAGGGUAUCCAGACAGGCUUAUGGAGGAAAAAAAAAAGAAGACAAAAGUCCUGAAAACACCCGGAAAUACAAUGUAAUCUGUGCUGUUGUAUGCAGAUCGCAUGCAAAUGAAUGCAAAUGAACCUGUAAUCUUGCUAUUUUUCUGUACCUAUAAAGACAGAGCCCCAAGGGAAAACUCCAAGUGUCGCUCUGAAUCCCCAACGUUGAGGGGAAGAAAGAGAA